GACGAACGCUGGCGGCGUGCUUAACACAUGCAAGUCGAGCGGAAAGGCCCUUCGGGGUACUCGAGCGGCGAACGGGUGAGUAGCACGUGAGUAACCUGCCCCAGACUUUGGGAUAACCCUCGGAAACGGGGGCUAAUACCGGAUACGACACAGCUUCGCAUGGGGUCUGUGUGGAAAGUUUUUCGGUUUGGGAUGGGCUCGCGGCCUAUCAGCUUGUUGGUGGGGUGAUGGCCCACCAAGGCGACGACGGGUAGCCGGCCUGAGAGGGCGACCGGCCACACUGGGACUGAGACACGGCCCAGACUCCUACGGGAGGCAGCAGUGGGGAAUAUUGCACAAUGGGCGGAAGCCUGAUGCAGCGACGCCGCGUGAGGGAUGACGGCCUUCGGGUUGUAAACCUCUUUCAGCAGGGACGAAGCGUAAGUGACGGUACCUGCAGAAGAAGCGCCGGCCAACUACGUG
This 462-nucleotide ribosomal RNA is filed under the name uncultured bacterium. Its description in RNAcentral is "partial 16S ribosomal RNA". It matches the Rfam family "Bacterial small subunit ribosomal RNA", at positions 28 to 507 of the family's 1533-position model. The record is from RNAcentral.